Molecule: long non-coding RNA, 874 nt
Organism: Cucumis melo (muskmelon)
Lineage: Eukaryota; Viridiplantae; Streptophyta; Magnoliopsida; Cucurbitales; Cucurbitaceae
Exons: 2
Source: RefSeq, a predicted model, not a curated record
AAAAGAAAAGAAGAAAGAGUGAAGAGAAGAGGUCAAGAAACCCAUCCAUCACCAACUUCAUACCCAUCAUUUUUUCAUCCAAAAUUUAGAGCCAAAUUGGGGAGGAGACUGAGUAAAUAAAAGGUAGAAGGUUUGGAGAGAUUAGAGCUGGAAAAGGCAGAGAAUUUCAAGAAAAUAGUUCAGUCAUCACAGUUCUUGGUUUACACAACACACUUCUGAUGUUUUCUUCACUGCAAGCUACACAAGAAAAAUCCGAAGAGUUAAGCAGGGUAAACAUGUAUUGUUAGAGGAGGACGAUGUUUGUUGACUUCACAUCGUCUUAUGAGUUAAGAGGAAAUGUUUCGGGAGGGGGGUGUGACAAUUGGACGUUGUUAAGGUCAGUCUUGUGUAUUUUACAGAAUUAGACUUGAUGAAGCAAGAAAAUACUAUAAGGAUGACCGACAAGACAUUGCUUGUUGAUGUUGAUGACUUAGAGUACAACAAUACCAAGGAUUGAGAAAACAUUAUGGGGAUAAAACAUUUGUUGGCCUUCAGAAGACAUUGAAAGAUAAGAAAGGGGCAUGCAAGUAGAAGUCUAAGAAGAGGCGUAUUACGUCAUCAAGUACACUAUUUUGGAUUUCUCUUUUGCCUUUCAAGUAUAUUAUGUUUCAUGUUAUUAUUAUUUUUUUUUGUUAUUUUUCUUGGUAUCCAAAAACAAAAAUCAAUUAAGAGCUUCAAUGUUAUGGUUGUUUUGGGCUUACGAGACGAUACCUAUUUUAUUUGGUAGGGGUGCAAAUCGUCGUAACAACCAUGCAAUCCCUUGUUUCUUAAGGUGGUAAUGCACAUCUGAUUGUUGAAUAAGAUACUUUGGCACGAUGUAUUCAAUGAGCCUAAU